This 36-nucleotide transfer RNA is filed under the name Elgaria multicarinata. RNAcentral describes it as "partial tRNA-Leu". The record is from RNAcentral. Lineage: Eukaryota; Metazoa; Chordata; Lepidosauria; Squamata; Anguidae.
ACUUUUAAAGGAUAAAAGUCAUCCACUGGCUUUAGG